Molecule: ribosomal RNA, 486 nt
Filed under: uncultured bacterium
Lineage: Bacteria
Description: partial 16S ribosomal RNA
Rfam family: Bacterial small subunit ribosomal RNA
Source: RNAcentral
AUUGAACGCUGGCGGCAUGCCUUACACAUGCAAGUCGAACGGCAGCACGGGUGCUUGCACCUGGUGGCGAGUGGCGAACGGGUGAGUAAUACAUCGGAACAUGUCCUGUAGUGGGGGAUAGCCCGGCGAAAGCCGGAUUAAUACCGCAUACGAUCUACGGAUGAAAGCGGGGGACCUUCGGGCCUCGCGCUAUAGGGUUGGCCGAUGGCUGAUUAGCUAGUUGGUGGGGUAAAGGCCUACCAAGGCGACGAUCAGUAGCUGGUCUGAGAGGACGACCAGCCACACUGGGACUGAGACACGGCCCAGACUCCUACGGGAGGCAGCAGUGGGGAAUUUUGGACAAUGGGCGAAAGCCUGACCCAGCAAUGCCGCGUGUGUGAAGAAGGCCUUCGGGUUGUAAAGCACUUUUGUCCGGAAAGAAAUCCUUGGCCCUAAUACGGUCGGGGGAUGACGGUACCGGAAGAAUAAGCACCGGCUAACUACGUG